CUCUGAUUGGCUGCACCCCCUGGUCCUGGAGCCAAUGAGGACGCAGAGUCCUUCUAGUGCAGGUGACAUCAUCCUGGGCAUAUUUUAUGUGGCAUUAGAAAUCCAAUAAUGAUCAUUUCAAGAGAUUCUGCAGAAGAAAUGUCCCAAACACAAUGCGGCUGCCUGAUGGUCUGAAAUCCGUGCAUUUCUGUGGUAGAGUGAGUAGGAAGUGGGGGUGCUUCUCCCUCUUUGGCCGCAAUUGUGUUUUGAGGAGUCCAAUCAUCAUCGAUUACUUAUUUAUGUGAUUAAUCUCCUUAGGAAAGAAGGCACUUGUCCCUAUUUUACACAGGAGGAAGCAGAGAGCCCAGGGGAUGACUCGACCCAGGCACACGGCUGAUGGAUUGAUGAACGGCAGAGCUGGCCUCAGACCACAGGCAACUCUGGGAGGAAGAAAUUAGGACGCAGAUACCCAGAGGGGAGACAUGAGGACAGAGGGAAAAGCCGGCCAUCCGCAUGCCAGGCAGAGAGGCCUCGGGAGAAGCCGCCCCUGCUGGCACCUCCACCUCGGACUUCUAGCCUCCAGAAUUGUGAGAACAUCAGUUUAUUUUGUUUACCCGCCCCCCCCCCGCCCCCACCAAAUCUGUAGAACUUUGUUACAGCAGCCCUCGGGAACAAAUACACCCCCAAUAUAUGAACGUGCAUUUGGAGUCGUGAGUGCAGCAGCCCCCUAGGAGCUGAUACCACUGAAAAUACGAGACACCCAAUUAAAUUUGAAUUUCAGAUAAACAAUGAAUAAUUUUUUCGCAUACACUGCAUGGGACAUACUUAUUAUACUAAAACAAUCCAUUGUUUAUCUGAAAUUCAAAUUUAACUGGGCGUCCUGGAUUUGCAUUUGCUAGAUCUGGCCACGUGGCCUGGCAUCUAAGGCUGUGACUCCCAUCCGACAGAGGUUCAAGGACAGAGACCAGCCUGGAAGCCGAGAAGGGGGUGAGAGCCUGAGGCUGCUUCCCAGGCCUGAGCUGCUCUCCCCAAACGGUUCCCAUCUCCCGCACAAACAUAUUUAUUGGGCCUGAUGGCAAACAGAUUAUGCUUGUCCCAGGAAGGGCAGCUCCAAAGAGAAAACCUUGAAGUCCGGGAAAUAAUGAUGAGGGAGUUAAAUUAAAGUGCAUAAAACCCUCCCGAGAGAUAACGUCAGGGUGAGUUACAGGCCCGAUAAGGGACUGGGGGCUUGCAGAGGGGGCUCAGAAAGGUCGCCCAGCGGCGCACAGAGGACCAGGAAUCAUAAAUAUGGGGCAAGACGCCCAGCCGGGGUCGCCGGGGUGAAAAUAUUGGGGUCAUUCCAAAAACAAUUAUCCUGCUUGGUUUGCUCUUCAGGUCUUGUAAAUCUUUCACCUUUUAUAAAAGAUUUCUGGAGAAGGAAGCACUCUGGAAGUCUUAACUGAUUUUUGUGGCUGCUUCUUGGUGGUUCUGCUGAAGGAAAACAAAAAGACAGAGGAAAAUGAAAUUACCCAGCAUUCUCAGAGGCACAGGGCUGGGCUGACUGGUUUUCUCUUAUUCUUUGGAGAAUUUGGGCUGCCUUGGGUUUUGAGUCCUCCCAUUUACAGUCUUGACACCAUUUAACAGUUCGUUUGUUCUGUUUUGAAGCCAGUUGCAGCAGGGCUUUCACUGCCCAGUGGGCCCUGUUCUAUGGGGCCAACUUGGCAGCCAUCUUGACUGGAGGCAGCCAUCUUGGCAGAAGCGGUGCCCGUUCUGACUGAAGUGCAGCCGUCUUAACUGAGGGGCGUUCCUGGUGGCUAACAGCUUAGGAAAACGAGGGCCCAAGAGGCAGGAACCAGCUUGGAGCCACACGGCUGCCACCUGUGGAGGGCAGAGCCCAGUGGUUAAGAGCAGGGCUACCGUGUCCGCCAGUCAUUCAUGGUGAGUCUGGGGCCAGUGAAGUGGCCCUUCCGGUUCCUGACCCCUGCAAUGGAGGUGGUGACGGGACCUGACGGAGGCUGCCUGUGCGGGUUUCGUUACUGCAUGUUUACAGACGGCAGCGCACAGCGGGCCCUUGGAAGAGGAGGGUGGCUCCCAGGGGCCAGCAAGGCCAGGGCUCCCGGGACCCACUACCCAGGCCUGCCAGGCAGCCCACACCUUGCAAGUCCUCCACCGAGUUCAGAGGCCCAGUCGUGAAUUAUCAUCAACACUGACUUUUCACAUCGUCUUGGGCAGGGGCCAC
Long non-coding RNA from Homo sapiens (human), 2197 nucleotides. RefSeq lists it as uncharacterized. The transcript is spliced from 3 exons. NCBI's taxonomy places the organism in Eukaryota, Metazoa, Chordata, Mammalia, Primates, Hominidae. The record is from RefSeq and is a predicted model, not a curated record.